RNAcentral lists this ribosomal RNA (646 nucleotides) under Vibrio cyclitrophicus. Its description in RNAcentral is "bacterial LSU rRNA". It matches the Rfam family "Bacterial large subunit ribosomal RNA", at positions 1 to 695 of the family's 2925-position model. Lineage: Bacteria; Pseudomonadati; Pseudomonadota; Gammaproteobacteria; Vibrionales; Vibrionaceae. The record is from RNAcentral.
GUUGUAUGGUUAAGUGACUAAGCGUACACGGUGGAUGCCUUGGCAGUCAGAGGCGAUGAAAGGCGUAAUAACUUGCGAUAAGCCCAGAUUAGGUAGUAAUAACCUUUUGAGUCUGGGAUUCCUGAAUGGGGAAACCCACUURCAUAAGYAAGUAUCCUGUUGUGAAUACAUAGCAACAGGAGGCAAACCGGGGGAACUGAAACAUCUAAGUACCCCGAGGAAGAGAAAUCAACCGAGAUUCCGAAAGUAGCGGCGAGCGAAAUUGGAUUAGCCCUUAAGCUUUUAAUGAUGCAGGUGAAGAGUCUGGAAAGUCUCGCAACAAAGGGUGAUAGCCCCGUAACCGACACAUCAUAAUCAGUGAAAACGAGUAGGGCGGGACACGUGAUAUCCUGUCUGAAUAUGGGGGGACCAUCCUCCAAGGCUAAAUACUACUGACUGACCGAUAGUGAACCAGUACCGUGAGGGAAAGGCGAAAAGAACCCCUGUGAGGGGAGUGAAAUAGAACCUGAAACCGUGUACGUACAAGCAGUAGGAGCACCUUCRUGGUGUGACUGCGUACCUUUUGUAUAAUGGGUCAGCGACUUAAUUUUAGUAGCAAGGUUAACCGUUUAGGGGAGCCGUAGGGAAACCGAGUCUUAACUGGGCG